RNAcentral lists this ribosomal RNA (484 nucleotides) under uncultured bacterium. RNAcentral's name for it is "bacterial SSU rRNA". It matches the Rfam family "Bacterial small subunit ribosomal RNA", at positions 1014 to 1496 of the family's 1533-position model. The record is from RNAcentral.
UGUACUACGGUACGCAGGAGACAGGUGGUGCAUGGUUGUCGUCAGCUCGUGUCGUGAGAUGUUGGGUUAAGUCCCGCAACGAGCGCAACCCCUNGCCCCCAGUAGCCAGCAUGUAAAGGUGGGCACUCUGAGGGGACAGCCGGGGAUAACCCGGAGGAAGGCGGGGAUGACGUCAAAUCAUCAUGCCCCUUAUGACCGGGGCUACACACGUGCUACAAUGGCGUAAACAAAGGGAAGCGAGAGUGCGAGCUUAAGCGAACCCCAAAAAUAACGCCUCAGUUCGGAUUGCAGCCUGCAACUCGGCUGCAUGAAGUUGGAAUCGCUAGUAAUCGCGGAUCAGAAUGCCGCGGUGAAUACGUUCCCGGGUCUUGUACACACCGCCCGUCACACCAUGGGAGUCGGGAAUGCCCGAAGUCGGUGACCUAACCGAAAGGGAGGAGCCGCCGAAGGCAGGCCUGGUAACUGGGGUGAAGUCGUAACAAGG